RNAcentral lists this ribosomal RNA (434 nucleotides) under uncultured bacterium. RNAcentral's name for it is "partial 16S ribosomal RNA". It matches the Rfam family "Bacterial small subunit ribosomal RNA", at positions 341 to 792 of the family's 1533-position model. The record is from RNAcentral.
ACGGGAGGCAGCAGUGGGGAAUAUUGCACAAUGGGCGAAAGCCUGAUGCAGCGACGCCGCGUGAGCGAAGAAGUAUUUCGGUAUGUAAAGCUCUAUCAGCAGGGAAGAAAAUGACAGUACCUGACUAAGAAGCCCCGGCUAACUACGUGCCAGCAGCCGCGGUAAUACGUAGGGGGCAAGCGUUAUCCGGAUUUACUGGGUGUAAAGGGUGCGUAGGUGGCAAGGCAAGUCAGAUGUGAAAGCCCGGGGCUCAACCCCGGUAUUGCAUUUGAAACUGUUUAGCUAGAGUGCAGGAGAGGUAAGUGGAAUUCCUAGUGUAGCGGUGAAAUGCGUAGAUAUUAGGAGGAACACCAGUGGCGAAGGCGGCUUACUGGACUGUAACUGACACUGAGGCACGAAAGCGUGGGGAGCAAACAGGAUUAGAUACCCUGGUA